ACAUGGCACACAUGGAUUGGAUAAUAUGGUUACUUGAACACUGGAUUUGCAAAUGCAGAACAGCUGACUUAUGUUUCAUAUGUCAGUUGGAGAUUUUCCAGGCAAAAUUUCUAGUAACUCAGCAUUCGAUUGACACAUCAGUGAGGAAGGUUCAGUUUAGUUUGUUAUAAUUUAGUUUCACCCCAUCUGUCAUUUGUACCAAUUCUAGAUAUUGUCCAUAACAAGUCUUCAUGUUAACAUUCUUGCCAGUGGUGCUGAUACUUUUUUUUUAUCACAACCACUUGUUUCAGCUGUUCCAAGUAUAGAAGCAUUACUUAUGCAAAUACUUAGAGAGGGCUGCCCUUUACAAAAGAAGAGCUUAUCACGAUGCCGUGAUGGUAUGUUUGCAAAACUGGAAAAAAUUCUGUGCUAUGGUGGCCUUAAGUAUGUGCUCAACAUUUUGAAAAAUGUGAACAGCAAAAACAGUUGGUCAGAAUUUCAAACGUCAAAAGUACUUAUUUUUGGAAAAUCAGUUAAUCUACAUCCUGAUUUUCUGCUGUUCCAUCAAUCACUAUGCAGUGUGUUUGGACAACCUAAGCAUUCUUGAAUCAGACUGCUUCAGUUUAUAAUGAGAUGUAUUGCUUGUCAUGCCC
Molecule: long non-coding RNA, 632 nt
Organism: Daphnia carinata
Lineage: Eukaryota; Metazoa; Arthropoda; Branchiopoda; Diplostraca; Daphniidae
Exons: 3
Source: RefSeq, a predicted model, not a curated record